RNAcentral lists this ribosomal RNA (732 nucleotides) under uncultured bacterium. Its description in RNAcentral is "bacterial SSU rRNA". It matches the Rfam family "Bacterial small subunit ribosomal RNA", at positions 126 to 894 of the family's 1533-position model. The record is from RNAcentral.
CUACCAUAUAGUAAGGGAUAACAGUUGGAAACGACUGCUAAUACCAUAUACGCCCUUAGGGGGAAAGAUUUAUCGCUAUAUGAUGAGCCCGCGUAAGAUUAGCUAGUUGGUGAGGUAAUGGCUCACCAAGGCUACGAUCUUUAGCUGGUCUGAGAGGAUGAUCAGCCACACUGGAACUGAGACACGGUCCAGACUCCUACGGGAGGCAGCAGUGGGGAAUAUUGGACAAUGGGCGCAAGCCUGAUCCAGCCAUGCCGCGUGAAUGAUGAAGGCCUUAGGGUUGUAAAGUUCUUUCGCUAUCGAGGAUAAUGACUGUAGAUAGAUAAGAAGCCCCGGCUAACUUCGUGCCAGCAGCCGCGGUAAUACGAAGGGGGCUAGCGUUGUUCGGAAUCACUGGGCGUAAAGCGCGCGUAGGCGGCUAUUCAAGUCAGAGGUGAAAUCCCAGAGCUCAACUUUGGAACUGCCUUUGAAACUGUAUAGCUGGAGUGUUGGAGGGGAUAGCGGAAUUCCUAGUGUAGAGGUGAAAUUCGUAGAUACUAGGAGGAACACCGGUGGCGAAGGCGGCUAUCUGGACAACAACUGACGCUGAGGCGCGAAAGCGUGGGUAUCAAACAGGAUUAGAUACCCUGGUAGUCCACGCUGUAAACGAUGAGUGCUAGCUGUCGGGCCCUUAGGGUUCGGUGGCGCUGCUAACGCAUUAAGCACUCCGCCUGGGGAGUACGGUCGCANNNU